Chlorocebus sabaeus (green monkey) is the source of this 2540-nucleotide non-coding RNA. Lineage: Eukaryota; Metazoa; Chordata; Mammalia; Primates; Cercopithecidae. The record is from RefSeq and is a predicted model, not a curated record.
GUGAGCUUGGCAGUACCUGGGUCCGCGUGGUUGGAGGGUCGAGGAGAGUGGUCUAGAACGCCACUUAAAGGGGAGGGCCUGAGACUAAGCCCGCCUUACCCUGAAGUGGUCGGGGGCGGGGAGGAGGGAGUGGGCAGAGCCCCGUGGGGUGGUCGCCACGGUGAGGUUGGAAGCAGGUUUAAGGCAGGGCUGAAAGUUGACUCUGGGUUGGAAUCCCUGGACUGGGGCAAGUAAUGGGAGCUCUGGAGAUAAGGCUUGGUACUUGGUGCUUGGGUUUGAGGAAUCGAAGUUCUGGGGAGUGGACGGAAGGAACCGGCAGAAACGGAGCCCAGGCUUGGCCCCCUGGGGUGGGAGUCAAAGAUUGUUUAAUUAUCCUUAACCAGCCCGGUUCUCUUUCUUGCAAGAAUUUUUGGAGUCUGUAUUCUCUGGAGUGUCUAGAAGGAAAGAAUGACGCUGCUACCAUGAGGUUGAAUCAGAACACCAUGCUGCUGGGGAAGAAGGUGGUACUUGUACCCUACACCUCGGAGCAUGUGCCCAGCAGGUAUCACGAGUGGAUGAAAUCAGAGGAGCUGCAGCGUUUGACAGCCUCAGAGCCGCUGACCCUGGAGCAGGAGUAUGCCAUGCAGCGCAGCUGGCAGGAAGAUGCAGACAAGUGUACCUUCAUUGUGCUGGAUGCCGAGAAGUGGCAGGCCCAGCCAGGCGCCACCGAAGAGAGUUGCAUGGUGGGAGAUGUGAACCUCUUCCUCACAGAUCUAGAAGACCCCACCUUGGGGGAGAUCGAGGUCAUGAUUGCAGGGGGAGGCUCUCCUGUUUCUGCUCCUUCUUGGUCCUCAGUUUCCCCCAAGUGGCUACUGACUAUCCCCGUGAAGCAGCAUACUGACUCCAUGAGAACCCAGCUGCAGGGGUAAGGGCCUUGGCACUGAGGCCGUUCUCGCGAUGCUGUCUUACGGUAAGAAAGUGUGAGCAGACAAUGCGGGAAGUGGCCAGGCCCCACAUGAACUUUGUUCAGGUCUGAGGGUUGGGGGCAGGUGAAGGUUCCUCCUCUGCAGCUUGGGACAGGAGGGGUGGGGGUAGGCGCCUCCUUACUUGCCCCUCUCUCAUCUCUGCGAGGAGUGACCAGACUAGGUCUGACCAAGUUUGAGGCUAAAAUUGGGCAAGAAAAUGAACCAAGCAUCCGGAUGUUCCAGAAACUUCACUUUGAGCAGGUAGCUGCGAGCAGCGUUUUUCAGGAGGUGACCCUCCGACUGACAGUGAGUGAGUCCGAGCAUCAGUGGCUUCUGAAGCAGACCAGCCACGUGGAAGAGAAGCCUUACAGAGAUGAGUCAGCAGAGCCCUGCUGAUGGCUGGGCCUUGUGGGCAGCCACCCUGUGUGAGCAGGGUGUUGGGCCCACGCACUCCAAAGACCAGAGCCCUGCACUGGGAGAGUGGUCCUGGCCCAGCCCCAGGCUGGGAAUCACCUUUCGGGGCCCUUCAGACUGUGGCGGGGCUUGCUGUGGCCUCCCUCCAGCUGGUGGUGUGGCUGAGCAGACUCCAGGGCCAGGGCCAGGGCCAGUUCCCUUCUCCCCUCCUGGCCAAAGCCAGACCCAGACUCUAGGAAACUGGAAUGGAGGGCAGGAAUCCAUGGGAGAUGUUGGGAUGAAGGUGGGAGCUGGAGGUGCAGGGGUACCUGGAGCAUGGAUGGGAGUGGAGAGACCUUUCUCCCUGGAGGCCAAAGGUGCUGCCCUGGCUGGGAGUGAAGCUCCAGGCAUGGUCAGCUUUCCUAGUUUUCCCAUUUAGUCUGUAUCUAGAGCUACCAGGAGGCCCAGCCUCCGUGUCUACUCAAGGGCAGCUGGGUCCUCUUGUCCUGCAGAAGCAGGCUGCUGUGACCCUGGGAGCUUGACCCGGGAACAACAGGUGGUCCAGAGAGAGUGUGGCCUGGCCCCUUAACCUAGCGUCCCUCCUCCUCUCUCCUGGAGCCAGUCUUGAGUUUAAAGGCAUUAGUGUUGGAUACAGCUCCUUACAGCUCCUUGUGGCCGGAGAACACCCCUCUGUUGAUGAAGCUCAGGGUGCACUGAGGAAGCAGAGGCCCCUCGGGGUGCCCUCCUGAAGACAGCGUCAGGCCAUCAGCUAUGUCCCUCUGGUGCUCUCACAUCCGCUCUUCACCCUGCACCUCUAGGAGCAGCUGCACCUGACUGGCCACGCGGGGGCAGUGGAGGCACAGGCUCAGGGUGGCCGGGCUACCUGGCACCCACGGCUUACAAAGUAGAGCUGGCCCAGUCUCCCUCUACCUGAGGGGAGCACUCUGACUCCUAACAGUCUUCCAUGCCUGCCAUCAUCUGGGGUGGCUGUCAAGAAAGGCCGGGCAUGCUUUCAUAACACAACCACAGGAGGCUUGCAGGGUAUUUUCCAGGCGGGGAAACAGUCUUAGAUAAGUAAGGUGACUUGCCUAAGGCCUCCGAACCCCCUUGAUCCUGGAGUCUCACACCAGACUGCAUGUGAAAAACUGAAACUGAAAACGUGCCUCAGUAUAAAACGAACAUCAUAAAAUGAACGUGUUGUUU